GAGUAGGGCGGGACACGUGAUAUCCUGUCUGAAUAUGGGGGGACCAUCCUCCAAGGCUAAAUACUCCUGACUGACCGAUAGUGAACCAGUACCGUGAGGGAAAGGCGAAAAGAACCCCGGCGAGGGGAGUGAAAAAGAACCUGAAACCGUGUACGUACAAGCAGUGGGAGCACCCUUCGGGGUGUGACUGCGUACCUUUUGUAUAAUGGGUCAGCGACUUAUAUUCUGUAGCAAGGUUAACCGAAUAGGGGAGCCGGAGGGAAACCGAGUCUUAACCGGGCGUUAAGUUGCAGGGUAUAGACCCGAAACCCGGUGAUCUAGCCAUGGGCAGGUUGAAGGUUGGGUAACACUAACUGGAGGACCGAACCGACUAAUGUUGAAAAAUUAGCGGAUGACCUGUGGCUGGGGGUGAAAGGCCAAUCAAACCGGGAGAUAGCUGGUUCUCCCCGAAAGCUAUUUAGGUAGCGCCUCGUGAAUUCAUCUCCGGGGGUAGAGCACUGUUUCGGCUAGGGGGCCAUCCCGGCUUACCAACCCGAUGCAAACUGCGAAUACCGGAGAAUGUUAUCACGGGAGACACACGGCGGGUGCUAACGUCCGUCGUGAAGAGGGAAACAACCCAGACCGCCAGCUAAGGUCCCAAAGUCAUGGUUAAGUGGGAAACGAUGUGGGAAGGCCCAGACAGCCAGGAUGUUGGCUUAGAAGCAGCCAUCAUUUAAAGAAAGCGUAAUAGCUCACUGGUCGAGUCGGCCUGCGCGGAAGAUGUAACGGGGCUAAACCAU
Molecule: ribosomal RNA, 779 nt
Filed under: Salmonella enterica
Lineage: Bacteria; Pseudomonadati; Pseudomonadota; Gammaproteobacteria; Enterobacterales; Enterobacteriaceae
Description: partial 23S ribosomal RNA
Rfam family: Bacterial large subunit ribosomal RNA
Source: RNAcentral